RNAcentral lists this ribosomal RNA (511 nucleotides) under uncultured eukaryote. RNAcentral's name for it is "SSU rRNA". It matches the Rfam family "Eukaryotic small subunit ribosomal RNA", at positions 117 to 632 of the family's 1831-position model. The record is from RNAcentral.
UUAUUUGAUGGUCACUCUAUAUGGAUAACUUCUGGUAAUUCUAGAGCUAAUAUAUGCACAAAGAGCCGACUUCUCGGAAGGCUUGUGUUUAUUAGAUACAGAACCAAUACCGCUUGCAGUUUUCGGAUGAUUCAUAAUAAAUGAACGGAGCGCAUGGCUUGUGCCGGCGCUGUAUCAUUCAAGUUUCUGACCUAUCAGCUUUCGACGGUAGGGUAUUGGCCUACCGUGGCAUUGACGGGUAACGGAGAAUUAGGGUUCGAUUCCGGAGAGGGAGCCCGAGAAACGGCUACCACAUCUAAGGAAGGCAGCAGGCGCGCAAAUUACCCAAUCCUGACGCAGGGAGGUAGUGACAAGAAAUAACAAAGCAGGUGCACAUGCAUUCUGCUAUUGGAAUGAGUAGAAUUUAAAUCUCUUUUCNACUAUCAAUUGGAGGGCAAGUCUGGUGCCAGCAGCCGCGGUAAUUCCAGCUCCAAUAGCGUAUAUUAAAGUUGUUGCGGUUAAAAAGUUCGUA